RNAcentral lists this ribosomal RNA (552 nucleotides) under Leptodactylus elenae A. RNAcentral describes it as "partial 16S ribosomal RNA". It matches the Rfam family "Bacterial large subunit ribosomal RNA", at positions 1841 to 2591 of the family's 2925-position model. The record is from RNAcentral. Lineage: Eukaryota; Metazoa; Chordata; Amphibia; Anura; Leptodactylidae.
ACACAUAAGAGGUCCAGCCUGCCAGUGACUCUGUUCAACGGCCGCGGUAUCCUAACCGUGCGAAGGUAGCGUAAUCACUUGUUCUUUAAAUGAGGACUAGUAUGAAUGGCAUCACGAAGGUUAUGCUGUCUCCUUUUUCUAAUCAGUGAAACUAAUCUUCCCGUGAAGAAGCGGGAAUAAUAAUAUAAGACGAGAAGACCCUAUGGAGCUUUAAACAGAUAUACAAUUGCCUCCAAUACAAAAAAAUUUCAGAAAAUAAAUAUUCACCCAGGCAUUUUGAUAUAAAGUUUUCGGUUGGGGUGACCACGGAGCAAAAAAUAACCUCCGCAAUGAAAGGGAAUUUUACCCUAAACCCAGGGCUACAACCCUAAGUAUCAAUAAUUUGACACUAAUUGACCCAAUACACUUGAUCAAUGAACCAAGUUACCCUAGGGAUAACAGCGCAAUCCAUUUCAAGAGCUCCUAUCGACAAAUGGGUUUACGACCUCGAUGUUGGAUCAGGGUAUCCCAGUGGUGCAGCCGCUACUAACGGUUCGUUUGUUCAACGAUUAA